GACGAACGCUGGCGGCGUGCUUAACACAUGCAAGUCGAACGAUGAAGCCGGAGCUUGCUCUGGUGAAUUAGUGGCGAACGGGUGAGUAACACGCGAGUAACCUGCCCUUGUCUCUGGGAUGACUGCGGGAAACUGUAGAUAAUACCGGAUACGACCCUCGGAGGCAUCUCCCGGGGGUGGCAAGAAUUUCGGUCAAGGAUGGACUCGCGGCCUAUCAGCCAGUUGGUGAGGUAAAGGCUCACAAAGGCGACGACGGGGAGCCGGCCUGAGAGGGUGACCGGCCACACUGGGACUGAGACACGGCCCAGACUACUACGGGAGGCAGCAGUGGUGAAUAUUGCACAAUGGGCGCAAGCCUGAUGCUGCAACGCCGCGUGAGGGAUGACGGCCUUCGGGUUGUAAACCUCUUUUAGCAGGGAAGAAGCGAAAGUGACGGUACCUGCAGAAAAAGCACCGGCUAACUACGUGCCAGCCGCCGCCGUAA
This 484-nucleotide ribosomal RNA is filed under the name uncultured bacterium. RNAcentral describes it as "partial 16S ribosomal RNA". It matches the Rfam family "Bacterial small subunit ribosomal RNA", at positions 28 to 523 of the family's 1533-position model. The record is from RNAcentral.